CGUGAGCCGGACUCCUUUCCCGAAUAGGUAGACUUCGUUCGAGCUCCUACGGGAGCCAGACUUCCAUCCUGAACUCCUGUUGUAGGUAGACCUCAUCCCGAAUUCCUACAAGGGCCGGACUCCGAGCUUCUACUGCAAGUGACCCACUCCGAGCUUCUACUACAAAUGAUCUACUUCAAAUUUCUAUCACGAGCGAUCCAUACCAGAUUCAUUGUGGAUGAAUUCCUUUCAGAUUUCUAUUACAGAUAGGCCUCAGCCGAGAUUCCUCGAUAAAUGAUCCCCAUCCGGGCUUCUACAG
This 298-nucleotide long non-coding RNA is filed under the name Elaeis guineensis (African oil palm). RNAcentral's name for it is "long non-coding RNA (EGUI_LNC079958)". Lineage: Eukaryota; Viridiplantae; Streptophyta; Magnoliopsida; Arecales; Arecaceae. The record is from RNAcentral.